GGGUGCUCGAGUGGCGAACGGGUGAGUAACACGUGAGUAACCUGCCCUUGACUUUGGGAUAACUUCGGGAAACUGAGGCUAAUACCGGAUAGGAGCUCCUGCUGCAUGGUGGGGGUUGGAAAGUUUCGGCGGUUGGGGAUGGACUCGCGGCUUAUCAGCUUGUUGGUGGGGUAGUGGCUUACCAAGGCUUUGACGGGUAGCCGGCCUGAGAGGGUGACCGGCCACAUUGGGACUGAGAUACGGCCCAG
Molecule: ribosomal RNA, 248 nt
Filed under: uncultured Actinomycetales bacterium
Lineage: Bacteria; Bacillati; Actinomycetota; Actinomycetes; Actinomycetales
Description: partial 16S ribosomal RNA
Rfam family: Bacterial small subunit ribosomal RNA
Source: RNAcentral